This 2190-nucleotide long non-coding RNA is filed under the name Lotus japonicus. RNAcentral describes it as "long non-coding RNA (LJAP_LNC001979)". The record is from RNAcentral. Lineage: Eukaryota; Viridiplantae; Streptophyta; Magnoliopsida; Fabales; Fabaceae.
UUGGUGUCUUACUCCUCGGCCCAUGGGCUUCCUUGUCCCCCAACUCAAGUCUCCUCGCGCCGUAGAAACUCCACUAAAUUCACUUUUUGAAACAACGCCUUCUUCCUCCUAGAAAACACAACCACCACAUGUUAGGGUUGUGUUUAUAUAGAAUUUAGAUAUCUAGUUAUCGGAGCCAAUAGAACAAGAAAACACUUAAUUCUGAGGGUUAAUACAUAGUUUAGCCAAAUAUAAGUUGGAUUAAUUAUGAGCAUGUAAAAAAAGAAUUAAAGCAAAUUACAGUCAAUAAUAAUCAAUGUAAGAAAGCCUACAAAACUCUGAGUACUUGAAUUAAAUCCUCCCGGAUUAUAUAUGUCUCUUUCAAUUUUUGAUUUCUCUUUAUGGGAUUCCUAACACAUUUUUUUUUAAAAUUGAAAAUGCUCCAUUAAGAAAGGAAACAUCAUGGGAACAACCUCUCCCAUGUGAGGCAAAACCCAGCACUGUUUAACAUGUUAAAGCUAACACUAGACCUUAACAUACCCAAGAUACACGACCCUUAGCCGUAGAGCAACAACACAAAAAGGAAAAAGACAAACAAACAAGAAGAUAAAUGUCCCAUUCUACAAUUGCAUAGGGCACGAUUAUUGCCUGCUUCUAACUCCAACUCCUGCAGCCUACAAGUCUGGAAAUCGUUCAGGAAAAAAACUUUAUUAGCUUGGAAGCACCCUUUCCUGAUCACGCAGACCUGCCUCAUCAAUCAAAUCUGUUACACAAACCCGCAGUGGAGAAUCUUUAUUGCAACCUUUGUUGGCCAAGAAAUCUGCUUCCACAUUACUCUCUCUAUAGAUGUGCCUUACUUCAACACAAUUUACCUCAUGUGUCAGGAAUUUGAUGUGAUUCAAUUCAUUAACAAGCCUCGAAGGUCUUUUCUCACUAGACCCUAUCUAACCCACCGUGACAGUCGAGCCGCUUUCAAUUAUGAUGUUUAUGAAGAGAAAUUCCUAACACAUUUUCCUAUAGUCAAUGCAUAUUUGAUUCAAGAAUUUUUCUGGCAGUGUGUUAGCAAAGCUCUUAAGACUUAAUGUACUAACCUUAUAGAAUGCUCAACUACUUCUCCAACAAAAUUGUCAAUCCAUAGGCACAAAACCCAUUAUGUGAUUGAGACUACAAAAACUUGUGAAUGGGGAAAUUCUGCUAUUUUACCUUCUUUUUUGGAAAGUUUAAACUUAAUACUACAUAUCUUCCAAUUAAGAAAAAUAAGUUAUUGACCGCUGCUAAUUACAUCUUGAUAGAUUUGCAAUUUUUAUGGUUAGUGGUCGUUAAAAGUUGUCAUUUAUGUUGGAGGGAUAUCUUUCAUAUUUUUUCAAGAUCUACCAUACAAUAUAUGGGGCCAAAAGACAAAAUAUAUGAUUUUAGCCCCAUAAGUUAUAAAAAAAUUAUUCUGAUAACUUGUAAAUUUGCAAAUUCUUCACACGAGACAUAAUAUUAUAACAUAUAUCAAAUUCAAUAUGCCAUAGAAGAAUUCUUUGGUCAAUUUCUCCUAAGCUCUUCCACUUUGUCACCCAUAUGACCACAAUACAUCAACAAAAUGGUAAGAAUAAUGUAAUGGAAUUUUCAUAGUGAAAUUACUUGUAAUAGAUUCCUUGAAAGCAUUCUCAAAACUGUUACCAUGAUUUUUUUAAGACACUAUAUCAGUGAAAUACACCACAUUUUCAGUUGAUACAAUGUGUUAUCAUCAUGAUCAACGUCUAUGCCAAAUAUAAAUUUAUAAGGAAUGGAUAGAGGAGACUUGUAGGGAAUAAGAUCAAAAAUCAUAUAAUAGAACAUACCCUUCAUCCUUGAAUGUAUGGUUGAAGAAAGUAAAUUAAAAUCCAUGAUAAGAUCGCCAUCUCUGCCUCGAAUGUCACCAUGAAUUUUGCUUUCUUCAACUACAUCUCAAAGGACGGAGAGUAUAUUUUGUUAUAUGAUUGUGAUUCUCUUCCGUACAAUACUCCUUUGAAUUCAAUACCUUUUAUAAAUUUUAUAUGUGACAGAGAUGGUGAUCUUCAUGAUAGUCACUUCGUAUCAACUACAAAUGUGGUGAAUUUUAUUGAAAAGGGGUGUGAAAAUAACAUCGUGGUUCCAGCUUUGAGUAAUGCUUUCAAAGAAUGUAGUUCAAUUUCCUUGUUCCUCACCCCCAAUUAAAUAUAUAGACCAUGUGAUAUUUUUUUG